AAUAGAUAUCAUAAUGCCAAGUGGUAGAUUUCUGUUGACAUAAGAAAAGAUUUGUGUUAUUUUAAAACAUCUCUGCAUCUUUCUUUGGUAUAAGUUUUUAAAUCUCUCUAGCCUUUUUUCUUAUUAUUACAAAGCUUAAAUCAGCUCUCUCUGUCAGGCGAGUACAAAUCUUGUACACGUUAUUUCUCCCACUUCCUAUUCUUGGAUCAAGAUGAAACUUUGCACAUUUCAAGGUGGUUAAGAGUUACUAAAACUAUCGUAACUUUUUUAUUUUAUAUAUAAUUUAACAUUUGAUUUUUUUUUUAAAUUGGUCUCCACCAGCAGCGCUAGUGGAUUAACCCUCCCC
Molecule: non-coding RNA, 346 nt
Organism: Biomphalaria pfeifferi
Lineage: Eukaryota; Metazoa; Mollusca; Gastropoda; Planorbidae
Source: the annotation of a GenBank genome assembly